GGCAGCGUAGCUCAGUUGGUUAGAGCGAAGGUCUCAUAAUCCUUAGGUCGGGAGUUCGAGUCUCCCCGCCGCCA
RNAcentral lists this transfer RNA (74 nucleotides) under Cyanobacteria bacterium M5B4. RNAcentral's name for it is "tRNA-Met". It matches the Rfam family "tRNA". From Rfam's summary of the family: Transfer RNA (tRNA) molecules are approximately 80 nucleotides in length. Their secondary structure includes four short double-helical elements and three loops (D, anti-codon, and T loops). Further hydrogen bonds mediate the characteristic L-shaped molecular structure. tRNAs have two regions of fundamental functional importance: the anti-codon, which is responsible for specific mRNA codon recognition, and the 3' end, to which the tRNAs corresponding amino acid is attached (by aminoacyl-tRNA synthetases). tRNAs cope with the degeneracy of the genetic code in two manners: having more than one tRNA (with a specific anti-codon) for a particular amino acid; and 'wobble' base-pairing, i.e. permitting non-standard base-pairing at the 3rd anti-codon position. The record is from RNAcentral. Lineage: Bacteria; Bacillati; Cyanobacteriota.